UNCCGCCUAUUGACACUGGAGUUAGC
Molecule: non-coding RNA, 26 nt
Filed under: Mus musculus (house mouse)
Lineage: Eukaryota; Metazoa; Chordata; Mammalia; Rodentia; Muridae
Source: RNAcentral